RNAcentral lists this ribosomal RNA (527 nucleotides) under uncultured bacterium. RNAcentral describes it as "bacterial SSU rRNA". It matches the Rfam family "Bacterial small subunit ribosomal RNA", at positions 1 to 523 of the family's 1533-position model. The record is from RNAcentral.
UAGAGUUUGAUCCUGGCUCAGAUUGAACGCUGGCGGCAUGCCUUACACAUGCAAGUCGAACGGCAGCAUGAUCUAGCUUGCUAGAUUGAUGGCGAGUGGCGAACGGGUGAGUAAUAUAUCGGAACGUGCCCAGUCGUGGGGGAUAACUGCUCGAAAGAGCAGCUAAUACCGCAUACGACCUGAGGGUGAAAGCGGGGGAUCGCAAGACCUCGCGCGAUUGGAGCGGCCGAUAUCAGAUUAGGUAGUUGGUGGGGUAAAGGCCCACCAAGCCAACGAUCUGUAGCUGGUCUGAGAGGACGACCAGCCACACUGGGACUGAGACACGGCCCAGACUCCUACGGGAGGCAGCAGUGGGGAAUUUUGGACAAUGGGCGCAAGCCUGAUCCAGCCAUGCCGCGUGCGGGAAGAAGGCCUUCGGGUUGUAAACCGCUUUUGUCAGGGAAGAAAAGGUUCUGGUUAAUACCUGGGACUCAUGACGGUACCUGAAGAAUAAGCACCGGCUAACUACGUGCCAGCAGCCCCGGUCA